AACUCACGACCUUAUGCUGAUUGCUGGACUGCAUUCCCUCGCCAUAUAAGCCGUACCCUCGCCACUGAAGACGACCCGCGCGGACACCUUUUUUAAGGGGGUACGCGGCAACAUCCCCCCUUGCGCCGGGGCUCUGGAUGGUCAACAUGUGGCCCUUUCGUGCGGUGCAUCAAAAAGCGCCCGCGAGGAGUUUUGGAUGAUUGGUCUAGUACUGGUGACCCACGGGCGUCUUGC
This 234-nucleotide unclassified non-coding RNA is filed under the name Hevea brasiliensis (rubber tree). Lineage: Eukaryota; Viridiplantae; Streptophyta; Magnoliopsida; Malpighiales; Euphorbiaceae. The record is from RNAcentral.